CUGCACACCAGGAUACCCCAUCUCUGUGAAUGUUUAACACCACAAAGCCAUUGACUUAUUCUGGUCUGGAGAACAGUGCCAACGCCCCAGGGAUAGGGACUUUGAAGAUGUGAGCUAUCACAGAGAACUGCAUCAUGCCGCAGUUUAAAGGAAGAUGGUGUCUCCUUCAGUCCACAGCUGGGCUUCAAGACCACACCUUGCCUGACUGCCCAGGUGGUCAGCUCUUCUUGAAGGAUGGAUGCUCUCUUUUGCAGAAAGAUGACCUAGAAAGACAUCUUGUAUGAGAAAGGCACCUGUGCCUUCCAACUGAAUCUGCGCACUCUAAGGCCUUCGACUCCUCCGCGCAGCUGCCAACUCCGAGGCCCUCAUGCAGCUGGCAGCAUGCUUUCUCUGGGUCAACAUCCAGUUGCAGGAGGUUGAAGUGGCUUUUGUCACAGUGAGAUGAUAUGAACGAUAACAGAAGC
This is a long non-coding RNA of Arvicola amphibius (Eurasian water vole), 464 nucleotides long. RefSeq lists it as uncharacterized. The record is from RefSeq and is a predicted model, not a curated record. Lineage: Eukaryota; Metazoa; Chordata; Mammalia; Rodentia; Cricetidae. The transcript is spliced from 3 exons.